UUGCCAUUUGAAAAUCAAAUGUUAAUACUCGUUUAGCGUAUAUAAUAUGAGGAACACGGAUUAUGGGGGAAAAUCGAAAUGCCGGUCGUAAUUUCAUAUAACCGUUUAUUCCGUUUAGUUUUGCUCGUGAAAUAACAUCAAUACAAAAACCCAAUAAAUAAACAUUAUAAUUAUAAUUUCGUUUACUAUAGCGAAUUUAAAGCGAUGUGUUUUUUUUGUUUUUUUCAUGGAAAUGUCUGUACCGUUGCACAUAUCUCCAUAAGAACACAAUCAUAAUGAACGAGUAUUUUACUAGCUGCAAUAGUAAUAUAAUAAUCAUACGAUUCAGGCCGUAUAGAGAUUACCGUGAGAAAAUGAGAAAGAAUGAGAGAUAUUUACCCUAUUAUGUACGAUAAAAUGAGUAAAUCCUCGUAGUACAC
Non-coding RNA from Cinara cedri, 419 nucleotides. The record is from the annotation of a GenBank genome assembly. NCBI's taxonomy places the organism in Eukaryota, Metazoa, Arthropoda, Insecta, Hemiptera, Aphididae.